RNAcentral lists this transfer RNA (73 nucleotides) under Stegodyphus mimosarum. It matches the Rfam family "tRNA". From Rfam's summary of the family: Transfer RNA (tRNA) molecules are approximately 80 nucleotides in length. Their secondary structure includes four short double-helical elements and three loops (D, anti-codon, and T loops). Lineage: Eukaryota; Metazoa; Arthropoda; Arachnida; Araneae; Eresidae. The record is from Rfam by way of RNAcentral.
GCCUUCGUGGUGUAAUGGUCAGCACACUCGGCGCGUAUUCGAGAGGUCCGUGGUUCGAGUCCCGGUGAGGGCA